AACGAACGCUGGCGGCAGGCUUAACACAUGCAAGUCGAGCGCCCCGCAAGGGGAGCGGCAGACGGGUGAGUAACGCGUGGAAUCUACCUAUCACUACGGAACAACUCCGGGAAACUGGAGCUAAUACCGUAUACGUCCGAGAGGAGAAAGAUUUAUCGGUGAUAGAUGAGCCCGCGUUGGAUUAGCUAGUUGGUGGGGUAAUGGCCUACCAAGGCGACGAUCCAUAGCUGGUCUGAGAGGAUGAUCAGCCACACUGGGACUGAGACACGGCCCAGACUCCUACGGGAGGCAGCAGUGGGGAAUAUUGGACAAUGGGCGAAAGCCUGAUCCAGCCAUGCCGCGUGAGUGAUGAAGGCCUUAGGGUUGUAAAGCUCUUUCACCGGUGAAGAUAAUGACGGUAACCGGAGAAGAAGACCCCGGCUAACUUCGUGCCAGCAGCCGCGGUAAU
This 448-nucleotide ribosomal RNA is filed under the name uncultured bacterium. RNAcentral describes it as "bacterial SSU rRNA". It matches the Rfam family "Bacterial small subunit ribosomal RNA", at positions 29 to 524 of the family's 1533-position model. The record is from RNAcentral.